CAGAGACUGCAAGCGUUAUUCGGAUUCACUGGGCGUAAAGGGUGCGCAGGCGGUUGGGUGUGUCAGAUGUGAAAUCCCGAGGCUUAACCUCGGAACUGCGUCUGAAACUACUCGACUAGAGUACUGGAGAGGGUAACGGAAUUCACGGUGUAGCAGUGAAAUGCGUAGAUAUCAUGAGGAAUACCAGAGGCGAAGGCGGCUCCCUGGACAAUUGCUGACACUCAGGCACGAAAGCGUGGGGAGCAAAAGGGAUUAGAUACCCCUGUAGUCCACGCCCUAAACGGUGCACACUAGGUCUUGGCGGAUUCGACCCCCCCAGGGCCCAAGCUAACGCGUUAAGUGUGCCGCCUGAGGACUACGGCCGCAAGGCUA
Molecule: ribosomal RNA, 372 nt
Filed under: uncultured organism
Description: bacterial SSU rRNA
Rfam family: Bacterial small subunit ribosomal RNA
Source: RNAcentral